AUGUUUAGGCGCCUCAUUGCCUUCCAGCAAGAGACUGGAAUUAAGUGUCGGAUAAAUCCCACCUCCAUGACCGUGUCCAUCGCGACCGCGGCAUCCAUGGGUGGCAUCGACAUGUCUAAGGAGAAGGACAGGAGGCCAGGGUCGACGCCAAAGAGAGGUGUGGCAGCCAAGUCAAACAUAAACCUGGAAAACAUUUCUUGCAUGUCGAACGGAGUGCCGGUGCUUGCCAGGUGGGAAAAUAAUGGUAGAAGUCCAUUCUCCACCUUGUCACGGCAGCAAGUUGCCAUACUAGCAACCAACCGUGGGCUGCUAAGCACGCUCUGGAUUUUUGCGCGCGGCCGAAGAGAGGGUGCACCAUCAAUGGUGAAGAGGCUACCAGCCAUGAUGUCAAAGAUGGCGGCAAACUCUGCUCCCUUGGGGAAGUUGGUGUAG
This 432-nucleotide ribosomal RNA is filed under the name Triticum aestivum (bread wheat). Its description in RNAcentral is "partial small subunit ribosomal RNA". The record is from RNAcentral. Lineage: Eukaryota; Viridiplantae; Streptophyta; Magnoliopsida; Poales; Poaceae.